GAUGAACGCUAGCUACAGGCUUAACACAUGCAAGUCGAGGGGAAACGACAUCGAAAGCUUGCUUUUGAUGGGCGUCGACCGGCGCACGGGUGAGUAACGCGUAUCCAACCUGCCCGCCACUUGGGGAUAACCUUGCGAAAGUAAGACUAAUACCCAAUGAUAUCCCACGAAGGCAUCCGAAUGGGAUUAAAGAUUUAUCGGUGAUGGAUGGGGAUGCGUCUGAUUAGCUUGUUGGCGGGGUAACGGCCCACCAAGGCUACGAUCAGUAGGGGUUCUGAGAGGAAGGUCCCCCACAUUGGAACUGAGACACGGUCCAAACUCCUACGGGAGGCAGCAGUGAGGAAUAUUGGUCAAUGGGCGAGAGCCUGAACCAGCCAAGUAGCGUGCAGGAUGACGGCCCUAUGGGUUGUAAACUGCUUUUAUAAGGGAAUAAAGUGGGUCACGUGUGACUUUUUGCAUGUACCUUAUGAAUAAGGACCGGCUAAUUCCGUG
RNAcentral lists this ribosomal RNA (492 nucleotides) under uncultured bacterium. RNAcentral's name for it is "bacterial SSU rRNA". It matches the Rfam family "Bacterial small subunit ribosomal RNA", at positions 28 to 507 of the family's 1533-position model. The record is from RNAcentral.